RNAcentral lists this ribosomal RNA (444 nucleotides) under uncultured bacterium. Its description in RNAcentral is "bacterial SSU rRNA". It matches the Rfam family "Bacterial small subunit ribosomal RNA", at positions 339 to 797 of the family's 1533-position model. The record is from RNAcentral.
AUACGGAAGGCAGCAGUGGGGAAUAUUGGGCAAUGGGCGAAAGCCUGACCCAGCAACGCCGCGUGAAGGAAGAAGGUUUUCGGAUUGUAAACUUCUGUCCUCAGGGAAGAAAAAAAUGACGGUACCUGGGGAGGAAGCCCCGGCUAACUACGUGCCAGCAGCCGCGGUAAUACGUAGGGGGCGAGCGUUGUCCGGAAUGACUGGGCGUAAAGGGCGCGUAGACGGCUGUCUAAGUCUGGAGUGGAAGUCCUGCUUUCAAGGUGGGAAUUGCUUUGGAGACUGGAUGGCUUGAGUGCGGAAGAGGUAAGUGGAAUUCCCAGUGUAGCGGUGAAAUGCGUAGAGAUUGGGAAGAACACCAGUGGCGAAGGCGACUUACUGGGCCGUAACUGACGUUGAUGCGCGAAAGCGUGGGGAGCGAACAGGAUUAGAUACCCCUGUAGUCCG